UGCAAGUCGAGCGAAUGACGAGGAGCUUGCUCCUCUGAUUUAGCGGCGGACGGGUGAGUAACACGUGGGCAACCUGCCCUGCAGACUGGGAUAACUUCGGGAAACCGGAGCUAAUACCGGAUAAUCCAUUUUACUUCAUGGUGAAAUGUUGAAAGGCGCUUUCGCGCCACUGCAGGAUGGGCCCGCGGUGCAUUAGCUAGUUGGUGGGGUAACGGCCUACCAAGGCGACGAUGCAUAGCCGACCUGAGAGGGUGAUCGGCCACAUUGGGACUGAGACACGGCCCAAACUCCUACGGGAGGCAGCAGUAGGGAAUCUUCCACAAUGGACGAAAGUCUGAUGGAGCAACGCCGCGUGAGUGAUGAAGGUUUUCGGAUCGUAAAACUCUGUUGUAAGGGAAGAACAAGUACGUUAGGAAAUGAACGUACCUUGACGGUACCUUAUUAGAAAGCCACGGCUAACUACGUGCCAGCAGCCGCGGUAAUACGUAGGUGGCAAGCGUUGUCCGGAUUUAUUGGGCGUAAAGCGCGCGCAGGUGGUUUCUUAAGUCUGAUGUGAAAUCUCGCGGCUCAACCGCGAGCGGUCAUUGGAAACUGGGGAACUUGAGUGCAGAAGAGGAUAGUGGAAUUCCAAGUGUAGCGGUGAAAUGCGUAGAGAUUUGGAGGAACACCAGUGGCGAAGGCGACUGUCUGGUCUGUAACUGACACUGAGGCGCGAAAGCGUGGGGAGCAAACAGGAUUAGAUACCCUGGUAGUCCACGCCGUAAACGAUGAGUGCUAAGUGUUAGGGGGUUUCCGCCCCUUAGUGCUGCAGCUAACGCAUUAAG
Molecule: ribosomal RNA, 824 nt
Filed under: Rummeliibacillus stabekisii
Lineage: Bacteria; Bacillati; Bacillota; Bacilli; Caryophanales; Caryophanaceae
Description: bacterial SSU rRNA
Rfam family: Bacterial small subunit ribosomal RNA
Source: RNAcentral